RNAcentral lists this ribosomal RNA (425 nucleotides) under uncultured bacterium. RNAcentral's name for it is "bacterial SSU rRNA". It matches the Rfam family "Bacterial small subunit ribosomal RNA", at positions 354 to 796 of the family's 1533-position model. The record is from RNAcentral.
GUAGGGAAUAUUGGACAAUGGGCGAAAGCCUGAUCCAGCAAUGCCGCGUGAGUGAGGAAGGCCUUAGGGUUGUAAAGCUCUUUCGGCGGGGACGAUGAUGACGGUACCCGCAGAAGAAGCCCCGGCUAACUUCGUGCCAGCAGCCGCGGUAAUACGAAGGGGGCGAGCGUUGUUCGGAAUUACUGGGCGUAAAGGGCGCGUAGGCGGCCAUCUUUGUCAGGCGUGAAAGCCCUGGGCUCAACCCAGGAAUUGCGCUUGGGACGGGACGGCUUGAGUUCGGGAGAGGAGAGUGGAAUUCCCAGUGUAGAGGUGAAAUUCGUAGAUAUUGGGAAGAACACCGGUGGCGAAGGCGGCUCUCUGGACCGAUACUGACGCUGAGGCGCGAAAGCGUGGGGAGCAAACAGGAUUAGAAACCCGAGUAGUCC